This 65-nucleotide transfer RNA is filed under the name Plateros sp. UPOL A00482. Its description in RNAcentral is "tRNA-Phe". Lineage: Eukaryota; Metazoa; Arthropoda; Insecta; Coleoptera; Lycidae. The record is from RNAcentral.
UUUUAAUAGCUUAUAUUUAGAGCAUAAUACUGAAGAUAUUAAGGAGGAAAUUUUUCUUUAAAAUA